Molecule: microRNA precursor, 173 nt
Filed under: Pelobates cultripes (western spadefoot toad)
Lineage: Eukaryota; Metazoa; Chordata; Amphibia; Anura; Pelobatidae
Source: RNAcentral
CAGCAGACACAUUCCAGCCAAUCAGCAGCAGACCCUCCCUCCCAGACCCUCGCACCUCCUGGACAGCAUCCAUUUUACAUUCAUUGUGAAGCUGCAUUCUUAGUGAGCUGUCCAGGAGGUGGGAGGGUCUGGGAGGGAGGGUCUGCUGCUGAUUGGCUGGAAUGUGUCUGCUG